GAUGAAGAACGUAGUGAAAUGCGAUAAGUAAUGUGAAUUGCAGAAUUCAGUGAAUCAUCGAAUCUUUGAACGCACAUUGCGCCCGCUAGUAUUCUGGCGGGCAUGCCUGUCCGAGCGUCAUUUCAACCCCCAAGCCCCCGGGCUUGGUGUUGGGGAUCGGCGAGCCUCCGCGCCCGCCGUCCCCUAAAUCUAGUGGCGGUCUCGCUGUAGCUUCCUCUGCGUAGUAGCACACCUCGCACUGGGAAACAGCGCGGCCACGCCGUUAAACCCCCAACUUCUGAACGUUUGACCUCGGAUCAGGUAGGAAUACCCGCUGAACUUAAGCAUAUCAAUAAGCGGAGGA
Molecule: unclassified non-coding RNA, 343 nt
Filed under: soil metagenome
Description: partial contains 5.8S ribosomal RNA, internal transcribed spacer 2, and large subunit ribosomal RNA
Rfam family: 5.8S ribosomal RNA (bases 1-120)
Source: RNAcentral